GACCUCAAGUCAUGUGAGAGUACCCGCUGAACUUAAGCAUAUCAAUAAGCGGAGGAAAAGAAACUAACAAGGAUUCCCCUAGUAACGGCGAGUGAAGCGGGAAGAGUACAAAUUUAAAAUCUACCUGGUUUCCAGGUCGAGUUGUAAUUUGAAGAUACGUUUUUGACGUUUCUGGUUGGACUAAAUCCUUUGGGAUAAGGUAUCAUGGAGGGUGAGAAUCCCGUAUAUACCAACCUAGGGAUGUUAUUUAAUACGUUUCUAAGAGUCGAGUUGUUUGGAAAUGCAGCUCUAAAUGGGUGGUAAAUUUCACCUAAUGCUAAAUAUAAGCGAGAGACCGAUAGCGAACAAGUACAGUGAUGGAAAGAUGAAAAGAACUUUGAAAAGAGAGUUAAAUAGUACGUGAAAUUGUUGAAAGGGAAACGAUUGAAGUCAGUCAUGCCUGUGGGAAUCAACUUAGGGGAAACUCUAAGUGCACUUCUUCGCUUGGCAGGUCAACGUCGAUUUUGGAUGUCAUAAAAUGAUUGGGGGAAGGUAGCUCCUUCGGGAGUGUUAUAGCCCUUGGUAGAUGUGAUGUCUGGGAUCGAGGAUUGCAAUGGAUACCCUUUGGAGCUAGCCGUCUGAUCUCUAAUUGGUAUUGGGUUACGGAUAGCAUGCUGACCGUGAUUUAAUUAUUGGUUAAAAGGUUAGAGUGCACAUAAAUUCGUUAAGGACACUGACGUAAUGGCUUUAAACGACCCGUCUUGAAACACGGACCAAGGAGUCUAACAUGUAUGCGAGUGUU
RNAcentral lists this ribosomal RNA (781 nucleotides) under Gigaspora rosea. RNAcentral describes it as "eukaryotic LSU rRNA". It matches the Rfam family "Eukaryotic large subunit ribosomal RNA", at positions 1 to 694 of the family's 3401-position model. The record is from RNAcentral. Lineage: Eukaryota; Fungi; Glomeromycota; Glomeromycetes; Diversisporales; Gigasporaceae.